RNAcentral lists this transfer RNA (73 nucleotides) under Thermoplasmata archaeon. RNAcentral's name for it is "tRNA-Asn". It matches the Rfam family "tRNA". Rfam says of the family: Transfer RNA (tRNA) molecules are approximately 80 nucleotides in length. RNAcentral also lists the same sequence under 2 other names. Lineage: Archaea; Methanobacteriati; Thermoplasmatota; Thermoplasmata. The record is from RNAcentral.
GCCGUCUUAGCUCAGUUGGUAGAGCACUCGGCUGUUAACCGAGCGGUCGCCGGUUCGAGUCCGGCAGACGGCG